GAUGAACGCUGGCGGCGUGCUUAACACAUGCAAGUCGAGCGAAGCGCUUUGGGAAGAUUCUUCGGAUGAUUUCCUUUGUGACUGAGCGGCGGACGGGUGAGUAACGCGUGGGUAACCUGCCUCAUACAGGGGGAUAACAGUUAGAAAUGACUGCUAAUACCGCAUAAGACCACGGUACCGCAUGGUACAGUGGUAAAAACUCCGGUGGUAUGAGAUGGACCCGCGUCUGAUUAGGUAGUUGGUGGGGUAACGGCCUACCAAGCCGACGAUCAGUAGCCGACCUGAGAGGGUGACCGGCCACAUUGGGACUGAGACACGGCCCAGACUCCUACGGGAGGCAGCAGUGGGGAAUAUUGCACAAUGGAGGAAACUCUGAUGCAGCGACGCCGCGUGAAGGAUGAAGUAUUUCGGUAUGUAAACUUCUAUCAGCAGGGAAGAAAAUGACGGUACCUGACUAAGAAGC
RNAcentral lists this ribosomal RNA (463 nucleotides) under uncultured bacterium. Its description in RNAcentral is "bacterial SSU rRNA". It matches the Rfam family "Bacterial small subunit ribosomal RNA", at positions 28 to 491 of the family's 1533-position model. The record is from RNAcentral.